This 429-nucleotide ribosomal RNA is filed under the name Chloroflexota bacterium. RNAcentral's name for it is "Chloroflexi bacterium partial 16S ribosomal RNA". It matches the Rfam family "Bacterial small subunit ribosomal RNA", at positions 355 to 776 of the family's 1533-position model. Lineage: Bacteria; Bacillati; Chloroflexota. The record is from RNAcentral.
UGGGGAAUAUUGCACAAUGGGCGCAAGCCUGAUGCAGCCAUGUCGCGUGUGUGAAGAAGGCCUUCGGGUUGUAAAGCACUUUCAGCGGGGAGGAAGGCGAUAAGGUUAAUAACCUUGUCGAUUGACGUUACCCGCAGAAGAAGCACCGGCUAACUCCGUGCCAGCAGCCGCGGUAAUACGGAGGGUGCAAGCGUUAAUCGGAAUUACUGGGCGUAAAGCGCACGCAGGCGGUCUGUCAAGUCGGAUGUGAAAUCCCCGGGCUCAACCUGGGAACUGCAUUCGAAACUGGCAGGCUAGAGUCUUGUAGAGGGGGGUAGAAUUCCAGGUGUAGCGGUGAAAUGCGUAGAGAUCUGGAGGAAUACCGGUGGCGAAGGCGGCCCCCUGGACAAAGACUGACGCUCAGGUGCGAAAGCGUGGGGAGCAAACAGG